RNAcentral lists this ribosomal RNA (473 nucleotides) under uncultured bacterium. RNAcentral's name for it is "bacterial SSU rRNA". It matches the Rfam family "Bacterial small subunit ribosomal RNA", at positions 55 to 518 of the family's 1533-position model. The record is from RNAcentral.
AUGCAAGUCGAGGGCGAGCAUGGGAUUAGCUUGCUAAUCCUGAUGGCGACCGGCGCACGGGUGAGUAACGCGUAUCCAACCUUCCCCUUACUCAGGUAUAGCCCGGUGAAAACCGGAUUAACCCCUGAUGGUUUCACUAGAUGGCAUCUGACGGUGAAUAAAGCUUUGCGGUAAGGGAUGGGGAUGCGUCUGAUUAGCUUGUUGGCGGGUAACGGCCCACCAAGGCAACGAUCAGUAGGGGUUCUGAGAGGAAGGUCCUCCACAUUGGAACUGAGACACGGUCCAAACUCCUACGGGAGGCAGCAGUGAGGAAUAUUGGUCAAUGGGCGAGAGCCUGAACCAGCCAAGUAGCGUGCAAGGAUGACGGCCCUAUGGGUUGUAAACUGCUUUUGUACGGGAAUAAAGUCAUCCACGUGUGGAUGUUUGCAUGUACCGUAAGAAUAAGGACCGGCUAAUUCCGUGCCAGCAGCAGC